This 252-nucleotide ribosomal RNA is filed under the name uncultured bacterium. RNAcentral describes it as "partial 16S ribosomal RNA". It matches the Rfam family "Bacterial small subunit ribosomal RNA", at positions 526 to 779 of the family's 1533-position model. The record is from RNAcentral.
CAGAGGGUGCAAACGUUGCUCGGAAUUACUGGGCGUAAAGCGCGUGUAGGCUGACAUGCAAGUCGGAUGUGAAUCCCAGGGCUCAACCUUGGAACUGCAUUCGAAACUGCACGUCUUGAGUACUGGAGAGGGAAGCGGAAUUCCGGGUGUAGAGGUGAAAUUCGUAGAUAUCCGGAGGAACACCAGUGGCGAAGGCGGCUUCCUGGACAGUAACUGACGCUGAGACGCGAAAGCGUGGGAGCAAACAGGAUU